UACGUAGGGCGCGAGCGUUGUCCGGAAUUAUUGGGCGUAAAGAGCUCGUAGGCGGUUUGUCGCGUCGGGAGUGAAAACACCGGGCUUAACUCGGUGCUUGCUUUCGAUACGGGCAGACUAGAGGCAUGCAGGGGAGAACGGAAUUCCUGGUGUAGCGGUGAAAUGCGCAGAUAUCAGGAGGAACACCGGUGGCGAAGGCGGUUCUCUGGGCCGAUACUGACGCUGAGGAGCGAAAGCGUGGGGAGCGAACAGG
Molecule: ribosomal RNA, 253 nt
Filed under: uncultured bacterium
Lineage: Bacteria
Description: partial 16S ribosomal RNA
Rfam family: Bacterial small subunit ribosomal RNA
Source: RNAcentral